UGAAAAUGCUAAGAUAAAUUUGAAAAAAAUUUCAAAAACA
This 40-nucleotide transfer RNA is filed under the name Paradactylodon persicus (Persian mountain salamander). RNAcentral's name for it is "Iranodon persicus (Persian mountain salamander) partial tRNA-Phe". Lineage: Eukaryota; Metazoa; Chordata; Amphibia; Caudata; Hynobiidae. The record is from RNAcentral.